AUGAACGCUGGCGGCGUGCCUAAUACAUGCAAGUCGAGCGAACAGACGAGGAGCUUGCUCCUCUGACGUUAGCGGCGGACGGGUGAGUAACACGUGGAUAACCUACCUAUAAGACUGGGAUAACUUCGGGAAACCGGAGCUAAUACCGGAUAAUAUAUUUAACCGCAUGGUUCAAUAGUGAAAGACGGUUUUGCUGUCCCUUAUAGAUGGAUCCGCGCCGCAUUAGCUAGUUGGUAAGGUAACGGCUUACCAAGGCAACGAUGCGUAGCCGACCUGAGAGGGUGAUCGGCCACACUGGAACUGAGACACGGUCCAGACUCCUACGGGAGGCAGCAGUAGGGAAUCUUCCGCAAUGGGCGAAAGCCUGACGGAGCAACGCCGCGUGAGUGAUGAAGGUCUUCGGAUCGUAAAACUCUGUUAUUAGGGAAGAACAAAUGUGUAAGUAACUAUGCACGUCUUGACGGUACCUAAUCAGAAAGCCACGGCUAACUACGUG
RNAcentral lists this ribosomal RNA (496 nucleotides) under uncultured bacterium. RNAcentral's name for it is "partial 16S ribosomal RNA". It matches the Rfam family "Bacterial small subunit ribosomal RNA", at positions 29 to 507 of the family's 1533-position model. The record is from RNAcentral.